Meriones unguiculatus (Mongolian gerbil) is the source of this 127-nucleotide small nucleolar RNA. Lineage: Eukaryota; Metazoa; Chordata; Mammalia; Rodentia; Muridae. The record is from Ensembl.
CCUGACCCUAGAGGCAUUGGCAGGUGCAGCUGCUGCGUCACAAGGUGGCGUGGCAGAGAGGAGAGCCGCUGGGUCUGUGUUCAGUGUGCUGCCCUACGAACAGCUGAACGGUUGUUAGCCUAACAUC